GCCCAGAUAGUGUAGUGGUUAGCAUAGGAGGCUGUGGACCUCUUGACGGGGGUUCGAAUCCCCCUCUGGGCC
This 72-nucleotide transfer RNA is filed under the name Nitrososphaerota archaeon. Its description in RNAcentral is "Thaumarchaeota archaeon tRNA-His". It matches the Rfam family "tRNA". From Rfam's summary of the family: Transfer RNA (tRNA) molecules are approximately 80 nucleotides in length. Lineage: Archaea; Thermoproteati; Nitrososphaerota. The record is from RNAcentral.